Molecule: long non-coding RNA, 2274 nt
Organism: Pocillopora damicornis (cauliflower coral)
Lineage: Eukaryota; Metazoa; Cnidaria; Anthozoa; Scleractinia; Pocilloporidae
Source: RefSeq, a predicted model, not a curated record
CUUGAUAUGAAAUCAAGAUAACGUUUCAAUGUUUCUGAUUGAUAAAAUUUCAUUUUUCCUUGUUUGAUAAACGUGUACGAAAGGACCGAAAAAUAUAACAGCUUUUAAUUUGUGAAGCAGCUAAUGAAACUUUUGACGCCCUUGAGAGUUGAUGAAAGAUUCUUUAUUUUCCUAUUCCAAGGCCAUCCUUUCGUUAUCCUUAUAUUUCAGAAACUAAAUCACAAGUAUCAUUCGAGGGUAGAUCCUAUUUUACUAUCGGUGCAAAUGAAACGUACAGGACUUCAUAAGCAUUCGUUGAGUUCUUAGCAAUGGAUUAUGUAUGAAACACAGUAUUAAAUUGGAAAACGCGACUCAGUACUAAAAUAGAAGCGACGUCACUUCCCAAAAGAACCUCUCAUUUACUUUUUUAUUACGGGCAAGAAUAUUCAUGAUAACUCAAUACUUUGAACCUCGUUGGCCCCCGAUAACCAAACAACUUUAGCAUGUAACUUUUAGCUUGGGUUUCAACUCCAUACAACUGCUUAUCAGCACAAAGCAAGAAUCAUUUUAUAUUGGUUUCAAAACCUAAUUCAUUAAUGACAGUUGAGUGACAAAGACUCAAACCAUACUGGAGAAAUAUAUGUUGGUUAGAGUCAGUCGUAUGUUUGGAACUGGAGAUUUGAUCGGUCCAGCAGUUUAUGUCUUCUAACUUCAUUACGUACUAGAGAAUCUUGCGCAAACAAAUCAAAAUUCGGCAAUCGACAACCUUCAGUAAUUUCCAGCAGUUCGUCUUCUUCACUCUGUGUUAUUUCUAACUAAAUGCUUCUAUUGCGCUAGCCUAUACAUCUUGGCGCUUUCUUCGUUAGUACCACAUCCGUUCUGGUAAUAGUAUUCGCGAUCUAUAAUAUUUCAUCUGCUAUCAAAAACCCUUUGAAUGUGACAAAACAUCCGACCCGUGCCAAACUUACUGUCGGAUCUUCCGUUUUCGGAUAGAAUCCUUACAACGCCACCGCUCUGUGUGCAACGCAAGACACUUCAUAUGUCAUUCCACAGCUGCUAAAUUCACAAGCGUUGAUGGAAAAUUUGGUUUGAGGUUAAAGUUGAAUCUCAAAAUAUUUUCAAAUUCGCCAGCCUGCAUGGCUUCUUCGGCAAGUCUAUCUCUUUUAGUUAAACAUGCUCAACCAUCUAGGAAUGGAUAAGACUAAGCGAUGAUCACCUGCCUAAAACGCGAAACAAAAAUAAGUUUUGAGCCGAAAAAAGAUUUACCACUAGUGCAAGAUUCUAAAUAUAGAACUAACCCCGCGCUCAAUCUGAAAUAUAUAUAUAUAUAAUGUGCCUUGUAUGUUAAAUAUCAAUAUUACCUUUCACUAAAACUAAGUGAAGUUCUUGUGUGCUUAUUCGUCAUGAUAUAAAAUUUAAGUUUGUUUUAAAUCGUACUACAACAAAGAAACAAGUUUACAAUUAUAUUUAACGUGUACAUAAAUACAUUUAAUGCAGGAAUAACGCCUUUGACGACAUUCUCCGAAUGGCAUUUGGAAGUUCAGAUAGGAAUCAUGUCACAGACCACAGAUGUCUUUCUUGUCAUGACUGGAGACAGCUACACGAAAUUCAGUGCGUGAUCAAAAAAGAAAUUCAAAAUUUUCAACUGAUGAUGUGUUUUAAGUUAUGUUGCUGGUAGCGGAACUUCAGGAUGUGACAGCAAUGAAUAACAGUUAGAGAACAUUCUUAUAAAAAUGCGCUACAAUGCUCAUCAAAAGACGUGGCAUGAAAAGGGAGGAUCAAUUUUUCCUCAUGCUUAGAGCGACUUCCACUACCAAGCCAAGAUGAACACAAUAAUUCUGGCCCUGGAAGGUUUGAUUCUGGUAACUUGCUUUUUCCGAGCAGUGGAUGGUUUUUCACCUUACAUGACAAAGCCCAAGGGCGAUGUAAGUGGCCCUGAUGAUCGUCAGAUAAAGCGCCAUCCCAGCAGAUAUUACCAGAUUGAAAAAGAGGGUCGUAAGAGAGAGACUGAUGCUGAAACUAUCCUGCAGAAUGGAGGCGACAGCCAAGUACGCACGCGCAAGAAGCGACGUUCUUUCUCCUAUUUGACGCUCUGAUGCAAGUUGAUAUAAACCAUAAUGAUCUAAUAACAAAGGCUUUGAAAUAGUAGUUAUGCAGAAAAGUGAAUUAAUUCAAGCUCAAACUAGCUUAAGCAAUAUGAAUAGCCUCCGAAAAGAAAGGCAAGAGUUUUAUUUGCAGAAUUAUUAAAAAUAUUUGCAAUAUUAUAGAGAAAUAAAGUGGGACCUAAUAAAUUCA